Molecule: ribosomal RNA, 253 nt
Filed under: uncultured bacterium
Lineage: Bacteria
Description: partial 16S ribosomal RNA
Rfam family: Bacterial small subunit ribosomal RNA
Source: RNAcentral
UACAGAGGGGGCAAGCGUUGUUCGGAAUUACUGGGCGUAAAGGGCGCGUAGGCGGCCUUCUAAGUCGAACGUGAAAUCCCUGGGCUCAACCCAGGAACUGCGUCCGAUACUGGGAGGCUUGAAUCCGGGAGAGGGAUGUGGAAUUCCAGGUGUAGCGGUGAAAUGCGUAGAUAUCUGGAGGAACACCGGUGGCGAAGGCGGCAUCCUGGACCGGUAUUGACGCUGAUGCGCGAAAGCCAGGGGAGCAAACGGA